Long non-coding RNA from Dermochelys coriacea (leatherback sea turtle), 370 nucleotides. RefSeq lists it as uncharacterized. Lineage: Eukaryota; Metazoa; Chordata; Testudines; Dermochelyidae. The record is from RefSeq and is a predicted model, not a curated record. The transcript has 2 exons.
UGUGUGCCCUCAUCUUCAAUGGGAUUUGAGGGCACUUAGUACCUCACAGGACUGAGUGCAUUAAGGAUAGAGUGCUGGCUGCCAGCCAAAUUAAUUCUUUGUGUAGAUAUCUAUCUCUAACUCAGUAUAGUUACUGUAGAUGUGGAUAGACUGGGUUUGAGGAUGGGAUCCCAGUAAAUUAUUGACUGAAGAUUUAAGCAGGUCACUAAAUUCAGGCAAAAUUCCACAACUGGAUGUUUAAACCUAACACAAAUAUUUUACUGCUUUUGAGAGAAGGGGUUAAUAUGAAUGAUGGUUAUUAAGAAGCUAUAACAGGAAAGCUACAAUAGUGUGAUUAACAGAUUCCCAAUAGCUGGAAGCCUCUUUUCUU